RNAcentral lists this ribosomal RNA (501 nucleotides) under uncultured bacterium. Its description in RNAcentral is "partial 16S ribosomal RNA". It matches the Rfam family "Bacterial small subunit ribosomal RNA", at positions 29 to 523 of the family's 1533-position model. The record is from RNAcentral.
AUUGAACGCUGGCGGCAUGCCUUACACAUGCAAGUCGAACGGCAGCACGGGUGCUUGCACCUGGUGGCGAGUGGCGAACGGGUGAGUAAUACAUCGGAACGUACCUUAUCGUGGGGGAUAACGCAGCGAAAGCUGUGCUAAUACCGCAUACGCCCUGAGGGGGAAAGCGGGGGAUCGCAAGACCUCGCGCGAUUAGAGCGGCCGAUGCCUGAUUAGCUUGUUGGUGGGGUAAAAGCCCACCAAGGCGACGAGCAGUAGCUGGUCUGAGAGGAGUAUCAGCCACACAGGGACUGAGACCCGGCCCAGACUCCUACGGGAGGCAGCAGUGGGGAAUUUUGGACAAUGGGGGCAACCCUGAUCCAGCAAUGCCGCGUGAGAGAAGAAGGCCUUCGGGUUGUAAAGCUCUUUUGUCAGGGAAGAAACACCGGCUCUAACACAGUCCGGGAAUGACGGUACCUGAAGAAUAAGCACCGGCUAACUACGUGCCAGCAGCCGCAGUAA